GUGGGGAAUUUUGGACAAUGGGCGCAAGCCUGAUCCAGCAAUGCCGCGUGCAGGAAGAAGGCCUUCGGGUUGUAAACUGCUUUUGUACGGAACGAAACGGUCCGGGUUAAUACCUGGGGCUAAUGACGGUACCGUAAGAAUAAGCACCGGCUAACUACGUGCCAGCAGCCGCGGUAAUACGUAGGGUGCGAGCGUUAAUCGGAAUUACUGGGCGUAAAGCGUGCGCAGGCGGUGCUGUAAGACAGGCGUGAAAUCCCCGGGCUCAACCUGGGAAUUGCGCUUGUGACUGCAGUGCUGGAGUACGGCAGAGGGGGAUGGAAUUCCGCGUGUAGCAGUGAAAUGCGUAGAUAUGCGGAGGAACACCGAUGGCGAAGGCAGUCCCCUGGGCCUGUACUGACGCUCAUGCACGAAAGCGUGGGGAGCAAACAGGAUUAGAUACCCCUGUAGUCC
This 450-nucleotide ribosomal RNA is filed under the name uncultured bacterium. Its description in RNAcentral is "partial 16S ribosomal RNA". It matches the Rfam family "Bacterial small subunit ribosomal RNA", at positions 354 to 796 of the family's 1533-position model. The record is from RNAcentral.